GCGAUAGCUCAGUUGGUAGAGCAAGUGACUGUUAAUCACUGGGUCCCUGGUUCGAGUCCCACA
Molecule: transfer RNA, 63 nt
Filed under: Pseudomonas syringae pv. actinidiae
Lineage: Bacteria; Pseudomonadati; Pseudomonadota; Gammaproteobacteria; Pseudomonadales; Pseudomonadaceae
Description: tRNA-Asn
Rfam family: tRNA (bases 5-59)
About the family: Transfer RNA (tRNA) molecules are approximately 80 nucleotides in length. Their secondary structure includes four short double-helical elements and three loops (D, anti-codon, and T loops). Further hydrogen bonds mediate the characteristic L-shaped molecular structure. tRNAs have two regions of fundamental functional importance: the anti-codon, which is responsible for specific mRNA codon recognition, and the 3' end, to which the tRNAs corresponding amino acid is attached (by aminoacyl-tRNA synthetases). tRNAs cope with the degeneracy of the genetic code in two manners: having more than one tRNA (with a specific anti-codon) for a particular amino acid; and 'wobble' base-pairing, i.e. permitting non-standard base-pairing at the 3rd anti-codon position.
Source: RNAcentral